This 429-nucleotide ribosomal RNA is filed under the name Gemmatimonadota bacterium. RNAcentral describes it as "Gemmatimonadetes bacterium partial 16S ribosomal RNA". It matches the Rfam family "Bacterial small subunit ribosomal RNA", at positions 355 to 776 of the family's 1533-position model. The record is from RNAcentral. Lineage: Bacteria; Pseudomonadati; Gemmatimonadota.
UAGGGAAUCUUCGGCAAUGGACGAAAGUCUGACCGAGCAACGCCGCGUGAGUGAAGAAGGUUUUCGGAUCGUAAAACUCUGUUGUUAGAGAAGAACAAGGACGUUAGUAACUGAACGUCCCCUGACGGUAUCUAACCAGAAAGCUACGGCUAACUACGUGCCAGCAGCCGCGGUAAUACGUAGGUGGCAAGCGUUGUCCGGAUUUAUUGGGCGUAAAGCGAGCGCAGGCGGUUUCUUAAGUUUGAUGUGAAAGCCCCCGGCUCAACCGGGGAGGGUCAUUGGAAACUGGGAGGCUUGAGUGGAGGAGAGGGGAGUGGAAUUCCAUGUGUAGCGGUGAAAUGCGUAGAUAUGUGGAGGAACACCAGUGGCGAAGGCGGCUCUCUGGUCUGUAACUGACGCUGAGGCUCGAAAGCGUGGGGAGCAAACAGG